GAUGAACGCUGGCGGCGUGCCUAACACAUGCAAGUCGAGCGAAGCGCCUUACUUGAUUUCUUCGGGAUGAAAGUAUUGUGACUGAGCGGCGGACGGGUGAGUAACGCGUGAGGAACCUGCCUAUUAGAGGGGAAUAACAAUGAGAAAUCAUUGCUAAUACCGCAUAAGCUUGUAGUAUCGCAUGGUACAGCAAGAAAAGGAGUAAUCCGCUAAUAGAUGGGCUUGCGUCUGAUUAGCUAGUUGGUGGGGUAACGGCCUACCAAGGCGACGAUCAGUAGCCGGACUGAGAGGUUGAACGGCCACAUUGGGACUGAGAUACGGCCCAG
Molecule: ribosomal RNA, 326 nt
Filed under: uncultured bacterium
Lineage: Bacteria
Description: bacterial SSU rRNA
Rfam family: Bacterial small subunit ribosomal RNA
Source: RNAcentral